CCUACGGGAGGCAGCAGUGAGGAAUAUUGGUCAAUGGGCUUACGCCUGAACCAGCCAAGUCGCGUGAGGGAAGACUGCCCUAUGGUUUGUAAACCUCUUUUGUCAGGGAGCAACGCCGGCUACUUGUAGCCGGACUGAGAGUACCUGAAGAAAAAGCAUCGGCUAACUCCGUGCCAGCAGCCGCGGUAAUACGGAGGGGGCAAGCGUUAUCCGGAUUUACUGGGUGUAAAGGGAGCGUAGGCGGUUUAGCAAGUCAGAAGUGAAAGCCCGGGGCUCAACUCCGGGACUGCUUUUGAAACUGUUGAACUAGAUUGCAGGAGAGGUAAGUGGAAUUCCUGGUGGAGCGGUGAAAUGCGUAGAUAUUAGGAGGAACACCAGUGGCGAAGGCGGCUUACUGGACUGUAAAUGACGCUGAGGCUCGAAAGCGUGGGGAGCAAACAGGAUUAGAUACCCGAGUAGUC
RNAcentral lists this ribosomal RNA (461 nucleotides) under uncultured bacterium. RNAcentral's name for it is "partial 16S ribosomal RNA". It matches the Rfam family "Bacterial small subunit ribosomal RNA", at positions 338 to 795 of the family's 1533-position model. The record is from RNAcentral.